AGACCCGAAACCCGGUGAUCUAGCCAUGGGCAGGUUGAAGGUUGGGUAACACUAACUGGAGGACCGAACCGACUAAUGUUGAAAAAUUAGCGGAUGACCUGUGGCUGGGGGUGAAAGGCCAAUCAAACCGGGAGAUAGCUGGUUCUCCCCGAAAGCUAUUUAGGUAGCGCCUCGUGAAUUCAUCUCCGGGGGUAGAGCACUGUUUCGGCUAGGGGGCCAUCCCGGCUUACCAACCCGAUGCAAACUGCGAAUACCGGAGAAUGUUAUCACGGGAGACACACGGCGGGUGCUAACGUCCGUCGUGAAGAGGGAAACAACCCAGACCGCCAGCUAAGGUCCCAAAGUCAUGGUUAAGUGGGAAACGAUGUGGGAAGGCCCAGACAGCCAGGAUGUUGGCUUAGAAGCAGCCAUCAUUUAAAGAAAGCGUAAUAGCUCACUGGUCGAGUCGGCCUGCGCGGAAGAUGUAACGGGGCUAAACCAUGCACCGAAGCUGCGGCAGCGAACGUAUCACUUAAAGCGAUUCAGCGGGUUACGAUUGACGGAGCGAAGCGACGUCAAAGCGUAUACAAAGUCGAGUCGGUUUAAGGAUACGUUCGUUGGGUAGGGGAGCGUUCUGUAAGCCUGUGAAGGUGUGUCGUGAGGCAUGCUGGAGGUAUCAGAAGUGCGAAUGCUGACAUAAGUAACGAUAAAGCGGGUGAAAAGCCCGCUCGCCGGAAGACCAAGGGUUCCUGUCCAACGUUAAUCGGGGCAGGGUGAGUCGACCCCUAAGGCGAGGCCGAAAGGCGUAGUCGAUGGGAAACGGGUUAAUAUUCCCGUACUUGGUGUUACUGCGAAGGGGGGACGGAGAAGGCUAUGUUGGCCGGGCGACGGUUGUCCCGGUUUAAGCGUGUAGGCUGGUUUUCCAGGCAAAUCCG
Molecule: ribosomal RNA, 914 nt
Filed under: Salmonella enterica subsp. enterica serovar Infantis
Lineage: Bacteria; Pseudomonadati; Pseudomonadota; Gammaproteobacteria; Enterobacterales; Enterobacteriaceae
Also listed under: 1 other name
Description: partial 23S ribosomal RNA
Rfam family: Bacterial large subunit ribosomal RNA
Source: RNAcentral